This 459-nucleotide ribosomal RNA is filed under the name uncultured bacterium. RNAcentral describes it as "SSU rRNA". It matches the Rfam family "Bacterial small subunit ribosomal RNA", at positions 26 to 518 of the family's 1533-position model. The record is from RNAcentral.
AGAAUCAACGCUGGCGGCGUGCCUAACACAUGCAAGUCGAACGAGAAAGUGGAGCAAUCCAUGAGUAAAGUGGCGCACGGGUGAGUAACACGUGACUAACCUACCUUUUAGUGGGGGAUAACCUAGGGAAACCUGGGCUAAUACCGCAUAAUACCUACGGGUCAAAGCAGCAAUGCGCUGAAAGAGGGGGUCGCGGUCGAUUAGUUAGUUGGCAGGGUAAUGGCCUACCAAGACUGUGAUCGAUAUCCGGCCUGAGAGGGCGCACGGACACACUGGAACUGAAACACGGUCCAGACUCCUACGGGAGGCAGCAGUGGGGAAUUUUGCGCAAUGGGGGAAACCCUGACGCAGCAACGCCGCGUGGAGGAUGAAGUCCCUUGGGACCGUAAACUCCUUUCGAUCGGGACGAUAAUGACGGUACCGGAAGAGAAGCCCGGCUAACUUCGCGCCAGCAGCCGC